This 74-nucleotide microRNA precursor is filed under the name Lates calcarifer (barramundi perch). Its description in RNAcentral is "Danio rerio let-7g-2 stem-loop (ENSLCAG00010020525.1)". It matches the Rfam family "let-7 microRNA precursor family". From Rfam's summary of the family: This family represents the microRNAs (miRNA) let-7 and mir-98. let-7 was identified from a study of developmental timing in C. elegans, and was later shown to be part of a much larger class of non-coding RNAs termed miRNAs. The record is from RNAcentral. Lineage: Eukaryota; Metazoa; Chordata; Actinopteri; Centropomidae.
GGAUGAGGUAGUAGUUUGUAUAGUUUUAGGAUCACACCAGAUCUGGGAGAUAACUAUACAGUCUACUGUCUUUC